GAUGAAGAACGUAGCGAAAUGCGAAAAGUAGUGUGAAUUGCAGAAUUCAGUGAAUCAUCGAAUCUUUGAACGCACAUUGCGCCCCUUGGUAUUCCAUGGGGCAUGCCUGUUCGAGCGUCAUUGCUGCCCUCAAGCACGGCUUGUGUGUUGGGCCCCGUCCUCCGAUCCCGGGGGACGGGCCCGAAAGGCAGCGGCGGCACCGCGUCCGGUCCUCGAGCGUAUGGGGCUUCGUCACCCGCUCUGUAGGCCCGGCCGGCGCUUGCCGAUCAACCCAAAUUUUUAUCCAGGUUGACCUCGGAUCAGGUAGGGAUACCCGCUGAACUUAAGCAUAUCAAUAAGCGGAGGA
Molecule: unclassified non-coding RNA, 346 nt
Filed under: soil metagenome
Description: partial contains 5.8S ribosomal RNA, internal transcribed spacer 2, and large subunit ribosomal RNA
Rfam family: 5.8S ribosomal RNA (bases 1-120)
Source: RNAcentral